RNAcentral lists this ribosomal RNA (239 nucleotides) under uncultured bacterium. Its description in RNAcentral is "partial 16S ribosomal RNA". It matches the Rfam family "Bacterial small subunit ribosomal RNA", at positions 96 to 334 of the family's 1533-position model. The record is from RNAcentral.
UGGCGAACGGGUGAGUAACACGUGACUAACCUGCCUUCUAGUGGGGGAUAACUCCGGGAAACCGGGGCUAAUACCGCAUAACAUCCUUGGGUGAAAUUCCUGGGGAUCAAAGCAGCAAUACGCUGGAAGAGGGGGUCGCGGCCGAUUAGCUAGUUGGCGGGGUAAUGGCCCACCAAGGCAGUGAUCGGUAGCCGGCCUGAGAGGGCGCACGGCCACACUGGAACUGAAACACGGUCCAG